UACGAAGGGGGCUAGCGUUGGUCGGAAUUACUGGGCGUAAAGCGGGAGUAGGCGGAUCGCUAAGUCGGGGGUGAAAGCCCAGGGCUCAACCCUGGAAUUGCCUUCGAUACUGGCGGUCUCGAGUUCAGGAGAGGUGAGCGGAAUUCCGAGUGUAGAGGUGAAAUUCGUAGAUAUUCGGAGGAACACCAGAGGCGAAGGCGGCUCACUGGACUGAUACUGACGCUGAGACCCGAAAGCGUGGGGAGCAAACAGG
This 253-nucleotide ribosomal RNA is filed under the name uncultured bacterium. RNAcentral describes it as "partial 16S ribosomal RNA". It matches the Rfam family "Bacterial small subunit ribosomal RNA", at positions 524 to 776 of the family's 1533-position model. The record is from RNAcentral.